AAGUCGUAACAAGGUUUCCGUAGGUGAACCUGCGGAAGGAUCAUUAACACUAUCCAAUACCUCUUUUACAAACCAAAAAACAAAGAAACGUGGGGUUUCUUUUUGUACGAACCGGUGGCCGUGUAUGUAUAGCGUUCUUUGGGUUCACAUUUAUGAAUUUAUUUGUUUUUCCCAUCCGCUAUGCAUUUGCACAUAUAUAUCUUUUUCCUUUUCAUAUAUACGCAUUUGACCCUUUUUUAACAAAGGAAAAAAAUUAAAAAAAACAAAUGAAAUGAAUGGUUGAUUGGCUUAUAUAAAUAAGAUAAAAAAUGACACAACUCUUAGCAACGGAUAUCUUGGUUCUCGC
RNAcentral lists this unclassified non-coding RNA (346 nucleotides) under fungal sp. RNAcentral's name for it is "partial internal transcribed spacer region". The stretch from base 1 to 46 matches the Rfam family "Eukaryotic small subunit ribosomal RNA", at positions 1786 to 1831 of the family's 1831-position model. The record is from RNAcentral. Lineage: Eukaryota; Fungi.